GUUUAAAAACCUGAAUAGGGUGUGGUUUCGACCCACAACGAAGGCUUAUAAGCUUUUUAAGUG
Molecule: transfer RNA, 63 nt
Filed under: Diversibipalium mayottensis
Lineage: Eukaryota; Metazoa; Platyhelminthes; Tricladida; Geoplanidae
Description: tRNA-Arg
Source: RNAcentral